GACGGCCUGAUGCUCCCAGCACAAAGAGCACAGGCCUGGAGCCGAAAGCCCUGAGCCUGGGGAAGCGUGCUGAGAAAGAGCAGGCGGGAUCCGUAGAGGGAGUGAAUGCCAAGACCAGAGACAAAUGACGAGCGAUGACCGUGUGGACCCAAGGCUAAGUGUGCUGCCAGCACUAACUGGGAAGUGGGAAGGGCUCUGGUUUGGAAGGAAAGAUAACAAGCUCUGCUCUGGACAAGUUUUGUUGCAGGGGUUGGAAGGUCAACCGAUUAGAGAUCUUCCAUAGACAAUAAGAAAUAUGAGCUGGGCAAGGGACAAGGAGGGAGGAUUUGAGGUGUAGGUUGAGCAGCCAUUGGGCAAUGGGAACAGUGCUGGGCCGGAGAGAUGGGCCAUUCAUUUGUCUAUUUCAGAACUCUCCCCUGAGUGCCUACUGUGUGCCAAGCAUGAUCCUGUGACCUGGGGAUGCUGCCGUGAACCAGCCAGGGCAGACGUCUUGAAUGAUUUGUGUGGAGGAAGAAAAUAAGGGCUGUCAAGUCCCGAGUGGGAAGAGAAGGAGAGCCUCAGACCACAAGGCACUACCAGCUGCGGGAACACGUGAACAGGCCUGGCCACUGCCGGGGAGGAAGGCUGCUGGCUUCAAGCGUGCAUUUAGGAAGCAGACCGCCCCAGCUUCAGCUGCCCGCUCUCCCCCUUCCCUGCUGUGGCUCACUUGAUUCUAAGUCUCAGAUUUGGACCAUGGAGGCUAAGCUCUGGCUGGUGCCUGAGAAGAAUUCCGUUCCGGCCCCAGCUCCUCCUUGGGAUAUUUGGAUCACUCCUUGAGCGCCCAGGCCAAAGCAGAGCAGAAGCUGAAUUCGAUCCGCCGCGUUCUGACUAUGUGAUCUCGAGCAAGACACUUACCCUCUGGAACCUGAGUUUAUUCAACCUCGAAAUGGAAAUAAAAAUAUUCAUCCAAACUACUAUCGCCA
Molecule: long non-coding RNA, 962 nt
Filed under: Oryctolagus cuniculus (rabbit)
Lineage: Eukaryota; Metazoa; Chordata; Mammalia; Lagomorpha; Leporidae
Description: lncRNA (ENSOCUG00000031826.1)
Source: RNAcentral